RNAcentral lists this ribosomal RNA (431 nucleotides) under Potamilus alatus. Its description in RNAcentral is "partial 28S large subunit ribosomal RNA". The record is from RNAcentral. Lineage: Eukaryota; Metazoa; Mollusca; Bivalvia; Unionida; Unionidae.
UUAGAGGCAAACGGGUGGACCCGCAAUACGUCGACCCGGGGGAUUCAACCAGGCCGUGCGUUCGGGACGCGUGGGGGUUAUGCGGAGCUGUAAAGCCCGUGCCUUUGCGCAGGUCUCCGGGCGGACUGGUGCACUUUCCUCGGGUCGAUUGCCACGACCGGCUCUCCGUGCGGCCACAAGCCUUUGCUGGGAAGGUGACCGUCGGCCUCGCGCCGGCGGUGUUAUAGACCAGCUCGUUCGUUGAGCUCGUCGGAGGGCCGAGGAAGUGUUGCCGUUUCUCGUCCACCCUCCGGCCAUCCUUGCUCGUCACGACUGGGGUGAACUGCUUCGUCAGUGCUCUCCCGACCGCGAGCGUAGGAAGGGCUGGUACGGUGCGAGAAAGCUUCGGGCCAGUGGCGAAUCGGUCGGUCCUCCACCCGACCCGUCUUGAA